RNAcentral lists this ribosomal RNA (484 nucleotides) under uncultured bacterium. RNAcentral's name for it is "bacterial SSU rRNA". It matches the Rfam family "Bacterial small subunit ribosomal RNA", at positions 30 to 507 of the family's 1533-position model. The record is from RNAcentral.
AUUGAACGCUGGCGGCAUGCCUUACACAUGCAAGUCGAACGGUAACAGGUCUUCGGAUGCUGACGAGUGGCGAACGGGUGAGUAAUAUAUCGGAACGUGCCCCAGUCGUGGGGGAUAACGCAGUGAAAGCUGUGCUAAUACCGCAUACGAUCUAUGGAUGAAAGCGGGGGAUCGCAAGACCUCGCGCGAUUGGAGCGGCCGAUAUCAGAUUAGGUAGUUGGUGGGGUAAAAGGCCCACCAAGCCAACGAUCUGUAGCUGGUCUGAGAGGACGACCAGCCACACUGGAACUGAGACACGGUCCAGACUCCUACGGGAGGCAGCAGUGGGGAAUUUUGGACAAUGGGCGCAAGCCUGAUCCAGCAAUGCCGCGUGCAGGAUGAAGGCCUUCGGGUUGUAAACUGCUUUUGUACGGAACGAAAAGGCUCUGGUUAAUACCUGGGGCUCAUGACGGUACCGUAAGAAUAAGCACCGGCUAACUACGUG